Molecule: non-coding RNA, 1366 nt
Organism: Macaca mulatta (Rhesus monkey)
Lineage: Eukaryota; Metazoa; Chordata; Mammalia; Primates; Cercopithecidae
Source: RefSeq, a predicted model, not a curated record
CGGUCAAUCCAAGACAGGCACUUCCGUGGAGGGCAGGUCAGGCCCAGCGCUCAGCUGACACAUGUUGUUUGGGUUACCCCCACCUAGGGGCCAAGGGAAACCCUUGGCCUUCUGAAGGUUCUCUGAAAAAUCAACUCACAAAAGGGAGAUCAAUUGGAAAAAAGACAUGUAAAUUUAUUUAACGUGUAUACACGGGAGCCUUCAGAAUGAAGACCCAAAGAUACAGGGGAUAUUGUCCACUUUUAUGCUUAAGUUCAACGAAGUAUGGACAGCCAUGUAGAAAUAGGAUUGGACAAAAAGUCCAUCCUGAUGGACUGACUGGGGACACCCAGCAAAGCCUAUCUGUCUAGAAUCUUCUUGGCCUCUCCGAGCAGCAUUUCCUUCUGGGUGUGGGGCAGGACCCUCUCUGGAAAGGAAAUCUUCUGCCCUGCUGUCAAACAAGCUCGAUCAGAUAAUUUUUCAUGAGAGGUCCUCGCUUGCCUGACAUCAGAGAAAAUGAAUACAUGACAGAAGAAACAGAAGAAAAUGGAAGAAUCAAGCUCCAAAAUAAAAUCCUGACAAGUCUGAGAUGUAAAAAUAAUCCAUUCAUAACACCUUAUUCUCCAUGCAGAUAUCCCUGUGUGACCCUAGAAUUUAGGAUCUUCCAAUGCUGGGGAUGUGAUGUCACUAGACUCCAGCCUUGUGCCCUUUCUGUCAGUGCCUCUACCUGUCCUUGGUCUGCUGAGCACUCCCCUUCUCAGGGCACACCUUACCUGCACGGUGCUCCAGGACACCUGGUUUUCCUUGUCCACUUCACACCUACCCGUUCUCUCCCAAGCCAAGGUAAUGGGAGGCUCCUCAGAAUCCAGUCCUCCAGGCUCCCAUUCCAUUCAGAAAACACGGCCUUUCCCCCCCCAUUUCUCCUGAAUCUUCAGUGCCACACAUGCUAUUGUUCCUCUGUUUUUUAGAAGUCAUCGCUCUCAAGCCAUCAUUUUAUUCUCACUCUCCUUUUUGGACUCCCCCCAACACUUCUCUCUAGUCUCCUAAUUAUGCUCUGUUCAAGGGCACCAGAGUUCAAGCUUGUCUUUUACACACAAUGUAAAAGCAGGUCGAAUAAGAUGGUAUAGUCGUAUAGACUACAGCCUUGUACAGUCAUGCACGGAGUGUAGAGGGGUGGGACAGGAGACACGUUCAGGGGUCUAGAUAGGAGAAGGCGUGGGUGUCAGAAUGAAGUUGGGAUAGAGGUUGAAGUAGAAGUACAGAAGUAGAAGCAAGAGCUUGAGCUCUGGAGUUAGAUAUCACCUUUUUCAUAAGCUUCAGUUUCCCUUUUUGUAAAAUAGGCACAAUGAUGCUGGCAUGAAAAAGUUAUUAAACAGACUAAAUUUGA